CCUACGGGUGGCAGCAGUAGGGAAUCUUCCACAAUGGGCGAAAGCCUGAUGGAGCAACGCCGCGUGGGUGAAGAAGGUCUUCGGAUCGUAAAACCCUGUUGUUAGAGAAGAAAGUGCGUGAGAGUAACUGUUCACGUUUCGACGGUAUCUAACCAGAAAGCCACGGCUAACUACGUGCCAGCAGCCGCGGUAAUACGGAGGUGGCAAGCGUUAUCCGGAUUUAUUGGGCGUAAAGGGAACGCAGGCGGUCUUUUAAGUCUGAUGGGAAAGCCUUCGGCUUAACCGGAGUAGUGCAUUGGAAACUGGGAGACUUGAGUGCAGAAGAGGAGAGUGGAACUCAAGGUGUAGCGGUGAAAUGCGUAGAGAUAUGGAAGAACACCAGUGGCGAAAGCGGCUCUCUGGUCUGUAACUGACGCUGAGGUUCGAAAGCGUGGGUAGCAAACAGGAUUAGAUACCCCAGUAGUC
This 465-nucleotide ribosomal RNA is filed under the name uncultured bacterium. RNAcentral's name for it is "partial 16S ribosomal RNA". It matches the Rfam family "Bacterial small subunit ribosomal RNA", at positions 338 to 795 of the family's 1533-position model. The record is from RNAcentral.